CUUAAUUCUUCAUUUUUUUUUUCUAUUUUAUUUCCAAAUUCUGCAAUUUAUUUCUAUUGCAAUCUAUUUUAUUUUCUUAAAAUACCUAUAAUUUUGCCCCCACUUUAUUGGGCUUGGAAGUCAAAACCCAACGUUCCAAAACCAAAACCCAGUCCCUGAACCCUACUGGCUGCCGAGGCUUCCUAGGUAACAAACAAUCCUAUCAUCCUCACUCGCAGUUAUUCAAUCCACCAUGGAGGUUAAGGUUAUCCAAAAUUUCCAUGUUUUCAGAUCAAACUAUCGAAAUCUAGCAGUCCCCUUCCUUUUCAUUUCCAAGAAUCCCUUCUCAAUCAGAUUGUCGCGAGAGCUAAAGACCCCAUUUGUCUCUCUUCAAAGUGAGCCACUUCCUAAUGUUAUAACCGCCUCCAAAAUUUCAACGAACCAAGCCUCCUUCACAGUCGACUACCUUGUACACUCUUGUGGCUUGCCCCUAGAAGCUGCAAUCUCAGUCUCCCAGAAGAUGCAUUUACAGUCUCCGAAGAAACCGGACUCGGUUCUUGCCCUUUUGCGAAACCGCGGAUUCUCGAAAACCCAGAUCUCAAACCUCGUCAAGAAACGCCCUUUGCUCCUUUUAGCCCAUCCUGAGAAUACCCUUCUUCCCAAACUUGACUUCUUUCAUUCUAUAGGGGUUUCAAGCUCCGACCUUGCGAGAACCCUCUCUUCAGACCCGACUCUUCUGACUAGAAGCUUAGAGAACCAAAUUGUACCCUCUUAUAACUUCCUCAAAAGCAUCUUGUUGUCUGAUGAAAAGAUCGUUUCUGCAUUGAAGCGCACUACUUGGAUAUUUCUAGAGGAUCAUUCGAAGAAUCUUGUACCAAAUAUUGAGCUUUUGAGAGGAAUUUGUGUACCACAUUCUUGUAUAUCAUUGUUGCUAACCCAUUUCCCUGAAGCCGUGAUGCAGAGGCACGACGAGUUUGGUAAAAUUGUGAAGGAGGUUAAGGAAAUGGGUUUUGAUCCAAAUAAAUCAACGUUUGUGUUGGCUGUACAUGCCAUUUCUGGGAAGGGUAAUAAGUCAAUAUGGAAACGUUGUUUUGAGGUUUAUAAGAGGUGGGGUUGGUCUAAAGAUGAUAUUCUUGCAGCAUUUAGGAAGCACCCGCAUUGUAUGAUGCUAUCGGAGAAGAAAAUUAUGAAAGGAAUGGACUUUUUAGUUAACAAGAUGGGUUGGCCCUCGAAGGUCAUUGCUCAAUUACCAGUGGUAUUGUUUUUCAGCUUGGAGAAGAGAAUUAUCCCGAGGUGUAGGGUCAUUGGAGUUUUGAUGUCCAAGAGAUUGAUAAAGCAAGAUUUGAGCUUAGCUACCGUGCUGCUUCCAGUAGAGGAGUGCUUUCUAGAGCGGUUUGUGACCAAAUUUGAGGAGGAAGUACCUCAAUUGUUGAGUGUUUAUGAAGGGAAAGUGGAUCUGGAGGAAGCAUAACUUAGAUAAAAGAGAAAUUGAUGAGAUAAAACAGAUCUUGGGCUGUUGUUGUCUGCCAAUCAGAAUAAAUGUUUACUAGCUAUUUUUUAAUCUCUGCAAAGGCGAUUAUAGCUUGCAAUUAUAUGUUUGCGAGAGCACCAAUUGUUCAGUAUGGUUCUGUACUUUUGUUGUGAAUUACUUGACAUUGAAUUGACAUUCUAUUAUCUACCUGCUUCAUUUGUAUUUGCGGUUACUUUCUUCACAAAGUUAAAGAUUGCUGUCAAAUUUGGUUUGCU
This 1725-nucleotide unclassified non-coding RNA is filed under the name Hevea brasiliensis (rubber tree). Lineage: Eukaryota; Viridiplantae; Streptophyta; Magnoliopsida; Malpighiales; Euphorbiaceae. The record is from RNAcentral.